This 254-nucleotide ribosomal RNA is filed under the name uncultured prokaryote. RNAcentral's name for it is "partial 16S ribosomal RNA". It matches the Rfam family "Bacterial small subunit ribosomal RNA", at positions 521 to 774 of the family's 1533-position model. The record is from RNAcentral.
UAAUAUGGAGGGAGCUAGCGUUGUUCGGAAUUACUGGGCGUAAAGCGCGCGUAGGCGGCUUUGUAAGUUAGAGGUGAGAGCCCGGGGCUCAACUUCGGAAUUGCCUUUAAGACUGCAUCGCUAGAACGUCGGAGAGGUAUGUGGAAUUCCGAGUGUAGAGGUGAAAUUCGUAGAUAUUCGGAAGAACACCAGUGGCGAAGGCGACAUACUGGACGACUGUUGACGCUGAGGUGCGAAAGCGUGGGGAGCAAACA